This 484-nucleotide ribosomal RNA is filed under the name uncultured bacterium. Its description in RNAcentral is "partial 16S ribosomal RNA". It matches the Rfam family "Bacterial small subunit ribosomal RNA", at positions 30 to 507 of the family's 1533-position model. The record is from RNAcentral.
AUUGAACGCUGGCGGCAGGCCUAACACAUGCAAGUCGAGCGGAUGAAGGGGGCUUGCUCCUGUCUUCAGCGGCGGACGGGUGAGUAAUGCCCAGGAGUCUGCCUGGUCUUGGGGGCUGACGUCCGGACACGGGCGCUAAUACCGCAUCCGUCCUGAUGUUGAAAGUGGUGGAUCUUCGGACCUCACGCUAUCUGAUGAGCCUAGGUCGGAUUAGCUAGUUGGUUGGGUAAAGGCCUACCAAGGCGACGAUCCGUAACUGGUCUGAGAGGAUGAUCAGUCACACUGGAACUGAGACACGGUCCAGACUCCUACGGGAGGCAGCAGUGGGGAAUAUUGGGCAAUGGGCGAAAGCCUGAUCCAGCAAUGCCGCGUGUGUGAUGAAGGUCUUCGGAUUGUAAAGCACUUUAAGUUGGGAGGAAGAGAAGUAAGUUAAUCCAUUGCUGUUUUGACGUUACCAAAAGAAAAAGCACCGGCUAACUUCGUG